Molecule: ribosomal RNA, 465 nt
Filed under: uncultured bacterium
Lineage: Bacteria
Description: partial 16S ribosomal RNA
Rfam family: Bacterial small subunit ribosomal RNA
Source: RNAcentral
CCUACGGGUGGCUGCAGUGGGGAAUAUUGCGCAAUGGGCGAAAGCCUGACGCAGCGACGCCGCGUGAGGGAUGAAGGUCUUCGGAUCGUAAACCUCUGUCAGCAGGGAAGAACGGUCACUGUGCUAAUCAGCAGUGAAUUGACGGUACCUGCAAAGGAAGCACCGGCUAACUCCGUGCCAGCAGCCGCGGUAAUACGGAGGGUACGAGCGUUAAUCGGAAUUACUGGGCGUAAAGCGCUCGUAGGCGGUAUGUCAAGUCAAGGGUGAAAUCCCCGCGCUCAACGUGGGAACUGCCGUUGAAACUGGCAAACUGGAGUGUGUGAGAGGAUAGUGGAAUUCCAGGUGUAGGGGUGAAAUGCGUAGAUAUCUGGAGGAACAUCAGUGGCGAAGGCGACUAUCUGGCACAUAACUGACGCUGAGGAGCGAAAGCGUGGGUAGCAAACAGGAUUAGAUACCCUUGUAGUC